GAGGAAAGUCCGGGCUUACCAGUAGGAAUUGUUGCAGGAUAAGCUCCUGUGCAAGUAAUUGUGAGGCUAGUGCCACAGAAAAUAAUACCGCUAUGAUUAUAGUUUAGUAAGGGUGCAAUGGUGUGUGUGAUAGUUUUAAGUCUUUAUUUAUUUCAAUUUUAUGAUUUUUUGACAAUAAGGCUAUCUAAUGCUUAGAAGAGAACAAAAAACAUGUUGCCUGAUGGGCUUAAUAAAUUUUUCAUUACUCUACCAUUUUAACAUUCAAUGUUAUUGUAAUGUUGUAAUAAGCCAUUUUAAUGAUAGUUUUACUUUUCUAGCCUAAAUUGUUAAACACCUCAUAAAGACUUUAUAACUUAAAUCGAUUCUUAUGAAAAAAUCUCUUUAUAUUAUUUAAAUACUUUUGUAAUAUAAUUGAGUUCUCCUGAGCACUUUUUGCAUAAAUGCAGAUGUAAUGUUCUUUAAAAAGCUUAUGCUUAUUUCAUUAAAAGCGUACCAGUGAUACUGAGAAGUGUCUGCUAGGUAAACCCCAGCAAAAAGCAAGCUCGUCUCUUAGUUUUUAACUGCUUAUAAUUGGCGAUCGAAAAGUGCACAAAGUCGUAAGUAAUUUUGACUUCAGAUAAAUAACCAUCCUUUUAGAUAUCUAUGAUUGAUAUUUUAAAAGAACAAAACCCGGCUUAG
RNAcentral lists this non-coding RNA (678 nucleotides) under Erythrotrichia longistipitata. Lineage: Eukaryota; Rhodophyta; Compsopogonophyceae; Erythropeltidales; Erythrotrichiaceae. The record is from RNAcentral.